Cricetulus griseus (Chinese hamster) is the source of this 218-nucleotide non-coding RNA. Lineage: Eukaryota; Metazoa; Chordata; Mammalia; Rodentia; Cricetidae. The record is from RefSeq and is a predicted model, not a curated record.
UUUGAGAAGUUACAGCAUCUACCUCAAGAUCACAUGAGUAGGAAGGAAGCUUCCAGACAGCAGUAGAGUGCCAAACUGAAGAAAAGACUGAUUCAUGGCAAAAGGCGACUGAAAAUAUGAAAAGGAAUGCAGCGUCCACGUCUUCAAAUGUUCCCCAUUUAGUUAAUUUAUCAUUAGAAAAAAACACAAAUAAAACACAGCCAGCUUUGCCUAAUGGA